RNAcentral lists this ribosomal RNA (280 nucleotides) under uncultured bacterium. Its description in RNAcentral is "partial 16S ribosomal RNA". It matches the Rfam family "Bacterial small subunit ribosomal RNA", at positions 773 to 1060 of the family's 1533-position model. The record is from RNAcentral.
GUGGAUUAGAUACCCUGGUAGUCCACGCCGUAAACGAUGGAUACUAGCUGUUGGGCGCAAGUUCAGUGGCUAAGCGAAAGUGAUAAGUAUCCCACCUGGGGAGUACGAACGCAAGUUUGAAACUCAAAGGAAUUGACGGGGGCCCGCACAAGCGGUGGAGCAUGUGGUUUAAUUCGAUGAUACGCGAGGAACCUUACCAAGGCUUAAAUGUAGAUUGACCGUUUUGGAAACAGAACUUUCGCAAGACAAUUUACAAGGUGCUGCAUGGCCGUCGACAGCU